AUUUGAGAGUUUGAUCCUGGCUCAGGACGAACGCUGGCGGCGUGCCUAAUACAUGCAAGUUGAGCGAUGAAGAUUGGUGCUUGCACCAAUUUGAAGAGCAGCGAACGGGUGAGUAACGCGUGGGGAAUCUGCCUUUGAGCGGGGGACAACAUUUGGAAACGAAUGCUAAUACCGCAUAACAACUUUAAACAUAAGUUUUAAGUUUGAAAGAUGCAAUUGCAUCACUCAAAGAUGAUCCCGCGUUGUAUUAGCUAGUUGGUGAGGUAAAGGCUCACCAAGGCGAUGAUACAUAGCCGACCUGAGAGGGUGAUCGGCCACAUUGGGACUGAGACACGGCCCAAACUCCUACGGGAGGCAGCAGUAGGGAAUCUUCGGCAAUGGACGAAAGUCUGACCGAGCAACGCCGCGUGAGUGAAGAAGGUUUUCGGAUCGUAAAACUCUGUUGGUAGAGAAGAACGUUGGUGAGAGUGGAAAGCUCAUCAAGUGACGGUAACUACCCAGAAAGGGACGGCUAACUACGUGCCAGCAGCCGCGGUAAUACGUAGGUCCCGAGCGUUGUCCGGAUUUAUUGGGCGUAAAGCGAGCGCAGGUGGUUUAUUAAGUCUGGUGUAAAAGGCAGUGGCUCAACCAUUGUAUGCAUUGGAAACUGGUAGACUUGAGUGCAGGAGAGGAGAGUGGAAUUCCAUGUGUAGCGGUGAAAUGCGUAGAUAUAUGGAGGAACACCGGUGGCGAAAGCGGCUCUCUGGCCUGUAACUG
Molecule: ribosomal RNA, 756 nt
Filed under: Lactococcus cremoris subsp. cremoris TIFN3
Lineage: Bacteria; Bacillati; Bacillota; Bacilli; Lactobacillales; Streptococcaceae
Description: bacterial SSU rRNA
Rfam family: Bacterial small subunit ribosomal RNA
Source: RNAcentral